This 468-nucleotide ribosomal RNA is filed under the name uncultured bacterium. RNAcentral's name for it is "partial 16S ribosomal RNA". It matches the Rfam family "Bacterial small subunit ribosomal RNA", at positions 28 to 507 of the family's 1533-position model. The record is from RNAcentral.
GACGAACGCUGGCGGCGUGCUUAACACAUGCAAGUCGAACGGAAAGGCCCUGCUUUUGUGGGGUGCUCGAGUGGCGAACGGGUGAGUAACACGUGAGUAACCUGCCCUUGACUUUGGGAUAACUUCAGGAAACUGGGGCUAAUACCGGAUAGGAGCUCCUGCUGCAUGGUGGGGGUUGGAAAGUUUCGGCGGUUGGGGAUGGACUCGCGGCUUAUCAGCUUGUUGGUGGGGUAGUGGCUUACCAAGGCUUUGACGGGUAGCCGGCCUGAGAGGGUGACCGGCCACAUUGGGACUGAGAUACGGGCCAGACUCCUACGGGAGGCAGCAGUGGGGAAUAUUGCACAAUGGGCGGAAGCCUGAUGCAGCAACGCCGCGUGCGGGAUGACGGCCUUCGGGUUGUAAACCGCUUGCGCCUGUGACGAAGCGUGAGUGACGGUAAUGGGUAAAGAAGCACCGGCUAACUACGUG